UGUGUUUCACCAAAAACCGCCCCGCAAAUAUAUAAGGCGAGAGACACAGUUAAAGAAUAAGAAAAUAUUCGCAAAAGGGCCGCGUAUUUAUACAUUUCAAG
Molecule: non-coding RNA, 101 nt
Filed under: Tetraselmis sp. GSL018
Lineage: Eukaryota; Viridiplantae; Chlorophyta; Chlorodendrophyceae; Chlorodendrales; Chlorodendraceae
Source: RNAcentral